This 477-nucleotide ribosomal RNA is filed under the name Myrianida flava. RNAcentral's name for it is "partial 16S ribosomal RNA". It matches the Rfam family "Bacterial large subunit ribosomal RNA", at positions 1829 to 2597 of the family's 2925-position model. Lineage: Eukaryota; Metazoa; Annelida; Polychaeta; Phyllodocida; Syllidae. The record is from RNAcentral.
UGCCUAUUGGUUWAAUUAUAUUAGGUAAAUUCUGCCCAGUGAAAUUUAAACGGCCGCGGUACCUUGACCGUGCAAAGGUAGCAUAAUCACUUGCCUUUUCAUUGAAGGCUAGAAUGAAAGAAUAAACAAGGAUACAACUUUACCUUAUAAUUAUAUAAAAAUUAUUUUUCAGGUGAAGAAACCUGAAUCCUAUAAAAAGACAAAAAGACCCUAUCAAGCUUUAUAUUUAAUAAUACCCUCUAUUUAAAAUAUUUGGUUGGGGCGACUAAUGAGAAUUUAUAUUCUCUCAUAACUAUAACGAAAUAUAUUUCUCUUUUCCUAAUAUAAUUAUAAUAUAAAAAAGCUACUGUAGGGAUAACAGGCUUAUAUUUUCUUAGAGUUCAAAUUAAAGAAAAUGAUUGGCACCUCRAUGUUGGCUUAGGGAACCUAUUUCUUGCAGAAGAAAAAUAAGGUGGUUUGUUCAACCAUUAAACCCCU